CCCAGAUUUUAUCACCUUACCAACAGUAUGCUAAGUGAAAUCAUAAAGGAUUGAAACUUUAAGGACUUAGGAGUGUUUGGUGAUUAAGAAAUAUUAACGUGGCUUAAAUGGCCUUUUCAUUGUCUCCAACUAUUGCUGAGUAGGAAAACUAGGGGGAGUCAUUCAGUUUAAAGUAGGAAAGAAUUCUAAGACAUUUUAAAAAUAGUCCUAGGGUGACAUGAUUGUAGGAAGGCUGACUGAUUUCUGUCAUCCCACCCUCUCUGCUCCUUUUCACUGCUUUCUCAUCUACACCCUCUUCCCCCCUACACUUCCUGAAGGUGAGGCAUAUUUUAUCCUUUGCAAAUACAGCUCUCCCUCAGGAGAGAAACAAGGCAGACCCAUUGCACUCUCCCAGGGACCCGUUGGAACAGACAACUAGUCCAACAGAUAAGAAUCAGUAGUAGUUAACUAGGGGUAUGUCUAUGUUCAUUUUUUGGUCCCUUCCAAGUCCAUUAUAACAAGGGCUUCCUUAAAGCUAAACCUUAGUCGUAAAAUUGUAUUCUAGUGGUGAAAUUCCAGAUGCCAGCGCCAAUAUUCCAGGUGCUGGGGGAUAUUGGGAGCGUUACACUAGAUGGCUAACUACUAAAAACAAACAAAAACAUUUACCUUCAUGUCAGGCAUAAAUAGUAAAAUAGAAAAGGCUUGUUUGGACCAUCUGUCCCUACAGAUAUGAGAUCAACCUCCCCAUGUGGUUUGGGAACAGAUUCUGCUGGAUAUGUACCAUCCAAAGCUUGUGACGCUUUCUCAGCUCAGUGACUGAAAGAUUCCAAGUCUACCUUUUUGAACAGUAAGCAAUGAAUCAUGCAGAAACUGUUGAAAUACUUUCUCAAUAGAGGCAGUAAAAAGAACAUUAGAUCCAAGGUCAAUAAAUCUGGUUUGAGUCUUGUCUUUGCCACAUGAAAUCUAAUGUACUUUUCAUUACUGAAUUUUGGGAGUCUUACUUUCCUUCAUAAACAUGCAUUUCUAAAGUGAUCUUAAAAAAAAAAUUAAAAAAACCCGCCUCACCUGUUGUGAGAGACACAGUAAAGAAUGAAGAUAACAACUACAAUAUCAUUAUUCUCAAAUUUACCCACUCUUUCUGCCCCUACCACUCCCUCUCUGCUACGAGGCUUUAUAGAACCGAUAGUAAUAAGUAGGGCUUCCCUUGUAGCUCAGUCAGUAAAGAAUUUGCCUGCAGUACAGGAGACC
Molecule: long non-coding RNA, 1227 nt
Filed under: Capra hircus (goat)
Lineage: Eukaryota; Metazoa; Chordata; Mammalia; Artiodactyla; Bovidae
Description: lncRNA (ENSCHIG00010030199.1)
Source: RNAcentral